CCCUUAGAUGUCCUGGGCCGCACGCGCGCUACACUGAACGGAUCAGCGCGUUUUCCCUUCCCGAGAGGGACGGGUAACCUGCCGAACCCCGUUCGUGGUAGGGAUCGGGGCUUGCAAUUAUUCCCCGUGAACCAGGAAUGCCCAGUAAGUGCAAGUCAUAAGCUUGCGUUGAUUACGUCCCUGCCCUUUGUACACACCGCCCGUCGCUACUACCGAUUGAACGUUUUAGUGAGGUACUCGGACUGAGCCUCAGAAGAUUCACGUCUUUUGUGCUGCUCGGGAAGAUUCCCAAACUUGAGCGUUUAGAGGAAGUAAAANUCGUAACA
This 326-nucleotide ribosomal RNA is filed under the name uncultured eukaryote. Its description in RNAcentral is "partial 18S ribosomal RNA". It matches the Rfam family "Eukaryotic small subunit ribosomal RNA", at positions 1470 to 1796 of the family's 1831-position model. The record is from RNAcentral.